UACGUAGGGGGCAAGCGUUGCCCGGAUUUAUUGGGCGUAAAGAGCGUGUAGGCGGCGAGUUAGGUCCGUUGUGAAAACUCGAGGCUCAACCUCGAGACGCCGAUGGAAACCAUCUGGCUAGAGUCCGGAAGAGGAGAGUGGAAUUCCCGGUGUAGCGGUGAAAUGCGCAGAUAUCGGGAAGAACACCCGUGGCUAAGGCGGCUACCUGGACAGGUACUGACGCUGAGACGCGAAAGCGUGGGGAGCGAACAGG
RNAcentral lists this ribosomal RNA (253 nucleotides) under uncultured bacterium. RNAcentral describes it as "partial 16S ribosomal RNA". It matches the Rfam family "Bacterial small subunit ribosomal RNA", at positions 524 to 776 of the family's 1533-position model. The record is from RNAcentral.